RNAcentral lists this ribosomal RNA (439 nucleotides) under uncultured bacterium. Its description in RNAcentral is "partial 16S ribosomal RNA". It matches the Rfam family "Bacterial small subunit ribosomal RNA", at positions 339 to 795 of the family's 1533-position model. The record is from RNAcentral.
CUACGGGGUGCAGCAGUGAGGAAUAUUGCACAAUGGGGGGAACCCUGAUGCAGCAACGCCGCGUGGAGGAUGACGCAUUUCGGUGUGUAAACUCCUUUUAUAUGUCAAGAAAAUGACGGUAGCAUAUGAAUAAGCACCGGCUAACUCCGUGCCAGCAGCCGCGGUAAUACGGAGGGUGCAAGCGUUACUCGGAAUCACUGGGCGUAAAGGACGCGUAGGCGGGUUGGAAAGUCAGGUGCGAAAUCCUACAGCUUAACUGUAGAACUGCACUUGAAACUUCUAAUCUAGAGUAUGGGAGGGGGAGAUGGAAUUAGUGGUGUAGGGGUAGAAUCCGUAGAUAUCACUAGGAAUACCUAAAGCGAAGGCGAUCUCCUGGAACAUUACUGACGCUAAGGCGUGAAAGCGUGGGGAGCAAACAGGAUUAGAUACCCGGGUAGUC